AGCUAAUUGCUUUCUUCUCUAUUAGAUAUGAACCAAUAUCAAAGACUCCAAGUGCUCUUGGCUGGUUGUAAAAGCUCUGGAACGUGCAAACGACGACCAAAAGAAACUGUUAUAUGGGAACUACGGAAAAGCCUAUCCAGCAUGUGUUGCCAAAGUGAAAGAGCUGUAUAAAACUCCGGACAUUCAGGGUGCAUUUGCGGAGUUCGAGAGCAAGAAUUACGAGAAGAUAACAAAGCAAGUCGAGGCUCAUCGAUGCAAAGCCGUGCAAGCUAUUAAGCGAAGAUAUACAUACAAGAGGCAGAAGUGGAGAUUUGAGCUGAACAAAGAUAAACAAACAUCGGAUUAUAUCCAUAGGGGAAUAAAUGUUGGCAAAAUCUAGACAAUUUGGACAGUAUUUUUAUUAGGAAAUGCAAAUUAAAUAUAGAAAUAAGUUGUUAAAACAAUAAAUAG
This is a long non-coding RNA of Hibiscus syriacus, 450 nucleotides long. RefSeq lists it as uncharacterized. The record is from RefSeq and is a predicted model, not a curated record. NCBI's taxonomy places the organism in Eukaryota, Viridiplantae, Streptophyta, Magnoliopsida, Malvales, Malvaceae. The transcript is spliced from 3 exons.